RNAcentral lists this ribosomal RNA (460 nucleotides) under uncultured bacterium. RNAcentral's name for it is "partial 16S ribosomal RNA". It matches the Rfam family "Bacterial small subunit ribosomal RNA", at positions 338 to 795 of the family's 1533-position model. The record is from RNAcentral.
CCUACGGGAGGCAGCAGUGAGGAAUAGUGGGCAAUGGACGAGAGUCUGAACCAGCGAAGUAGCGUGAAGGAUGAAGGCCCUAGGGGUGGUAAACGUCGUUUAUAAAGGAAUAAAACGAGGCACGUGUGCCUUUUUGCAUGUACGUUAUGAAUAAGGACCGGCUAACUCCGUGCCAGCAGCCGCGGUAAGACGGAGGAUCCGAGCGUUAUCCGGAUUUAUUGGGUUGAAAGGGGGCGUAGAUGGGUUGUUAAGUCAGUUGUGAAAGUUUGCGGCUCAACCGUAAAAUUGCAAGUGAUACUGGCAGUCUUGAGUACAGUUGAGGUAGGCGGAAUUCGUGGUGUAGCGGUGAAAUGCUUAGAUAUCACGAAGAACCCCGAUUGCGAAGGCAGCUUACUAAACUGUGACUGACAUUGAUGCUCGAAAGUGUGGGUAUCAAACAGGAUUAGAUACCCGAGUAGUC